RNAcentral lists this ribosomal RNA (518 nucleotides) under uncultured microorganism. Its description in RNAcentral is "bacterial SSU rRNA". It matches the Rfam family "Bacterial small subunit ribosomal RNA", at positions 9 to 509 of the family's 1533-position model. The record is from RNAcentral.
GAGUUUGAUCAUGGCUCAGGAUGAACGCUGGCGGCGUGCCUAAUACAUGCAAGUCGAGCGAACGGACGAGAAGCUUGCUUCUCUGAUGUUAGCGGCGGACGGGUGAGUAACACGUGGAUAACCUACCUAUAAGACUGGGAUAACUUCGGGAAACCGGAGCUAAUACCGGAUAAUAUUUUGAACCGCAUGGUUCAAAAGUGAAAGACGGUCUUGCUGUCACUUAUAGAUGGAUCCGCGCUGCAUUAGCUAGUUGGUAAGGUAACGGCUUACCAAGGCAACGAUGCAUAGCCGACCUGAGAGGGUGAUCGGCCACACUGGAACUGAGACACGGUCCAGACUCCUACGGGAGGCAGCAGUAGGGAACCUUCCGCAAUGGGCGAAAGCCUGACGGAGCAACGCCGCGUGAGUGAUGAAGGUCUUCGGAUCGUAAAACUCUGUUAUUAGGGAAGAACAUAUGUGUAAGUAACUGUGCACACCUUGACGGUACCUAAUCAGAAAGCCACGGCUAACUACGUGCC